AUUUGUUUGUUGAUGGUCAUCUAUUCAUCAUAUCAUUUGGCAUAGUUUUUGGAACCAUUAAUAUGCCAUGAUUAGAUGAACAUCAACAAACAUCUUC
This 97-nucleotide microRNA precursor is filed under the name Solanum lycopersicum (tomato). RNAcentral describes it as "miR827 stem-loop (sly-MIR827)". Its record names the gene sly-MIR827. The stretch from base 6 to 92 matches the Rfam family "MIR827_2 microRNA precursor family". The record is from miRBase by way of RNAcentral. Lineage: Eukaryota; Viridiplantae; Streptophyta; Magnoliopsida; Solanales; Solanaceae.